This is a non-coding RNA of Acanthosepion pharaonis, 81 nucleotides long. The record is from the annotation of a GenBank genome assembly. NCBI's taxonomy places the organism in Eukaryota, Metazoa, Mollusca, Cephalopoda, Sepiida, Sepiidae.
CAUACGAUCCCUGAAGUUAAGCAAUAUCCCGCCUGAUCAGUACUUAGAUGGGUGACCACUUGGGAGUACUAGGUGCUGUAA